Molecule: transfer RNA, 77 nt
Filed under: Apibacter sp. wkB309
Lineage: Bacteria; Pseudomonadati; Bacteroidota; Flavobacteriia; Flavobacteriales; Weeksellaceae
Description: tRNA-Asn
Rfam family: tRNA
About the family: Transfer RNA (tRNA) molecules are approximately 80 nucleotides in length. Their secondary structure includes four short double-helical elements and three loops (D, anti-codon, and T loops).
Source: RNAcentral
UCCUCCUUAGCUCAGUCGGUUAGAGCAUCUGACUGUUAAUCAGAGGGUCGCUGGUUCGAGCCCAGCAGGAGGAGCUA